RNAcentral lists this long non-coding RNA (1390 nucleotides) under Pan troglodytes (chimpanzee). RNAcentral describes it as "long non-coding RNA NONPTRT015968". Lineage: Eukaryota; Metazoa; Chordata; Mammalia; Primates; Hominidae. The record is from RNAcentral.
CCGAGGCCCCGCUGUCCCGGCCGGACCGGCCUGGUCCCUGGCGUCCUGUCGGGUCGGCGCUGGAGGAGAGUCCCAGACAGCAGAGCCCGCGCUCGCCUCCCUUCCGCCAAGAUUCACAGAACACGGCAGAGUGGCCUCGGGAUCACCUGCCCAAGACACCUGCACGACCGGAAGUUGGGAGAAGAAAUAAGGCCAUGAUGACGAACGCAGCCUUUCUCGUUUAUUUCCAAUCCCACAACAAACCUGAGUCCAGGAACUCAUGGGUGAUUAUCGGACUAUUACCUAGUCGUAAAACUGUGGAGCAUUGGUGUCUAAAGGAAUCUGAGACAGACCCGCAGUGUCUCCCCCACAUGCCUUAAGUCACUUCUGCCAAGCAGAAAAUCAUUUUUAAGUAAAUGUUAGUGAAAUUGGUUUUAAAAAAGAGAAGGGGCCGGGCGCGGUGGCUCACGCCUGUAAUCCUAGCCUUUAGGAGGCCGAGGUGGGCGGAUUGCCUGAGUUCAGGAGUUCGAGACCAGCCUGGGCGACACGGUGAAACCCCCGUCCCUACUAAAAUACAAAAAAUUAGCCGGGCGUGGCGGCACGCGCCUGUAAUCCCAGCUACUCAGGAGGCUGAGGCAGGAGAAUGGCUUGAACUCGGGUGGGGGAGGUUGCAGUGAGCCGAGAUCGCGCCGCUGCACUCCAGCCUGGGCGACAGAGCGAGACUCCGUCUCUGAAAAAAAAAAAAACGAGAAGGCUUUCAAAAUUACUCUGCGGUACACUAAUUUAACAGAUUAGAUCACUCUCCAGGCUUUAAGUUGGUCUUUGUUCUACCCUUUUUUUAGUGUAUGAUAAAAGUUGUGUUGGUUCGUUGAUCAGCAUGCAAUGAACUCUGGCUCUUGUUAAUCAGGUGAAUACAGUUUUGUCCUUACAUUUGUAUGUAUGUCAUGAGUGGUUUUGUAUGGGCAGGAGGUAAAUAACGCACAUUUACAUAUACUUAAUGAUUUAUCAUUCCAAUGUUUUCUGGUUGUUUUAGUCUUUCAUUUGUCUCUUGAACAAUCUGAAACAUCCCUAUUCUAAGGCUAAAAAAUUUCCUUUACAAACUUAGGUUAAACAUUCCUAAUCUGAAAUCCAAAAUGCUCUAAAAUUCGAAUUUUUUUGAGUGCUGACGUGACCCCACAAAUGGAAAAUUCCACACUUGCCCUCAUGUGACACUGGGUGACAGUCAAGUCACAAUCAAGCCUGGUGUGGUGGGCACCUGUAGUGCCAGCUACUCGGGAGGUUGAGCAGGAGGAUUGCUUGAGCCCAGGAGUUUGAGUCCAGCCUGGACGAUAUAGCCAGACCCUGUCUGUAAAAAAACAAAAACAAAAACAAAAAAAACAACAUUUUUUUUAAAAAACGCCAUCAAAACUUU